RNAcentral lists this ribosomal RNA (253 nucleotides) under uncultured bacterium. RNAcentral's name for it is "partial 16S ribosomal RNA". It matches the Rfam family "Bacterial small subunit ribosomal RNA", at positions 524 to 776 of the family's 1533-position model. The record is from RNAcentral.
UACGAAGGGGGCUAGCGUUGCUCGGAAUUACUGGGCGUAAAGCGCACGUAGGCGGCUUUCUAAGUCGGGGGUGAAAUCCUGGAGCUCAACUCCAGAACUGCCUUUGAUACUGAGGAGCUUGAGUCCGGGAGAGGUGAGUGGAACUGCGAGUGUAGAGGUGAAAUUCGUAGAUAUUCGCAAGAACACCAGUGGCGAAGGCGGCUCACUGGCCCGGUACUGACGCUGAGGUGCGAAAGCGUGGGGAGCAAACAGG